CUACCGUGGGCGCAGGAAACUUGAGAGGACUCGUUCUUAGUACGAGAGGACCGGAAUGAACAUACCUCUGGUGUUUCGGUUGUUCCGCCAGGAGCAUUGCCGAGUAGCCAAGUAUGGAUGAGAUAAACGCUGAAAGCAUAUAAGUGUGAAACUCGCCUCAAGAUAAGGUUUCCCUAAAGAGCGCUUGUAGACUACAAGUUUGAUAGGUCAGAAGUGGAAGUGCAGUAAUGUAUGGAGCUAACUGAUACUAAUUGCUCGUUUGGCUUGGUCGC
Molecule: ribosomal RNA, 272 nt
Filed under: Candidatus Parendomicrobium reticulitermitis
Lineage: Bacteria; Pseudomonadati; Elusimicrobiota; Endomicrobiia; Endomicrobiales; Endomicrobiaceae
Description: partial 23S ribosomal RNA
Rfam family: Bacterial large subunit ribosomal RNA
Source: RNAcentral